RNAcentral lists this transfer RNA (87 nucleotides) under Geobacter sp. RNAcentral describes it as "tRNA-Leu". It matches the Rfam family "tRNA". Rfam says of the family: Transfer RNA (tRNA) molecules are approximately 80 nucleotides in length. RNAcentral also lists the same sequence under 2 other names. The record is from RNAcentral. Lineage: Bacteria; Pseudomonadati; Thermodesulfobacteriota; Desulfuromonadia; Geobacterales; Geobacteraceae.
GCCGGAGUGGCGGAAUUGGUAGACGCGCUAGAUUCAGGUUCUAGUAUUCGAAAGGAUGUGCUGGUUCGAUUCCAGUCUUCGGCACCA